AUAAAAUCAAACCUAGGUUUGGUAUUGGGAGAAGUGGCAAUGCCUCUCUCCUUUAAGCUAUUGGCGACACUAUUUCAGCUUGUAAGACGUAGUAAGUAAUUUCUCGUUAAAGCUUCUGUAUAUAGAUGUCUGCCAACUGAAUAUUUUAUUUUAGC
This 155-nucleotide unclassified non-coding RNA is filed under the name Ascobolus denudatus. Its description in RNAcentral is "partial internal transcribed spacer 2". The record is from RNAcentral. RNAcentral also lists the same sequence under 1 other name. Lineage: Eukaryota; Fungi; Ascomycota; Pezizomycetes; Pezizales; Ascobolaceae.